UGGGGAAGUAUUGCGCAAUGGGCGAAAGCCUGACGCAGCGACGCCGCGUGAGGGAAGAAGGCCUUCGGGUCGUAAACCUCUGUCAGGAGGGAAGAAACCAUAGGGGUCGAAUAGGCCUCUGUGCUGACGGUACCUCCGGAGGAAGCACCGGCUAACUCCGUGCCAGCAGCCGCGGUAAUACGGAGGGUGCAAGCGUUAAUCGGAAUCGACUGGGCGUAAAGCGCACGUAGGCGGUGCCGUAAGUCGGAUGUGAAAGCCCUCGGCUCAACCGGGGAACUGCAUUCGAUACUGCGGU
Molecule: ribosomal RNA, 295 nt
Filed under: uncultured bacterium
Lineage: Bacteria
Description: partial 16S ribosomal RNA
Rfam family: Bacterial small subunit ribosomal RNA
Source: RNAcentral